Molecule: ribosomal RNA, 1348 nt
Filed under: metagenome
Description: bacterial LSU rRNA
Rfam family: Bacterial large subunit ribosomal RNA
Source: RNAcentral
UGAGUACGAGCUGCUACGGCAGCGAAGUGGGUGAUGUCAAGCUUCCAAGAAAAGCCCUAUACCCGUUAAGGCAUGACGGCCUGUACCCGAAACCGACACAGGUGGGGUGGUAGAGAAUACCGAGGGGCGCGAGAUAACUCUCUCUAAGGAACUCGGCAAAAUGGCCCCGUAACUUCGGGAGAAGGGGUGCCACCGCAAGGUGGUCGCAGUGAAGAGGCCCAGGCGACUGUUUACCAAAUACACAGGUCUCCGCUAAGUCGCAAGACGAUGUAUGGGGGCUGACGCCUGCCCAGUGCCGGAAGGUUAAGGAAGCUGGUCAGCGCAAGCGAAGCUAGCGACUGAAGCCCCGGUGAACGGCGGCCGUAACUAUAACGGUCCUAAGGUAGCGAAAUUCCUUGUCGGGUAAGUUCCGACCCGCACGAAAGGCGUAACGAUCUGGGCGCUGUCUCGGAGAGAGGCUCGGCGAAAUAGAAUUGUCUGUGAAGAUGCGGACUACGUGCACCCGGACAGAAAGACCCUAUGAAGCUUUACUGUAGCUUGGUAUUGUGCCCGGGCUCUGAAUGCGCAGGAUAGGUGGGAGGCUUUGAUCCAUUGCUUGUGGGUGAUGGUGAGCCAACGGUGAGAUACCACUCUUUCAGAGCUAGGGUUCUAACCCUCACCCGUUAUCCGGGGAGGGGACAGUAUCAGGUGGGCAGUUUGACUGGGGCGGUCGCCUCCUAAAAGGUAACGGAGGCGCGCAAAGGUUUGCUCAGGCUGGUUGGAAAUCAGCCGACGAGUGUAAAAGCAGAAGCAAGCUUGACUGUGAGACCAACAAGUCGAACAGGGACGAAAGUCGGCUUUAGUGAUCCGACGGUUCUGAGUGGAUGGGCCGUCGCUCAACGGAUAAAAGUUACUCUAGGAUAACAGGCUGAUCUCCCCCAAGAGUUCACAUCGACGGGGAGGUUUGGCACCUCGAUGUCGGCUCAUCGCAACCUGGGGCUGAAGUCGGUCCCAAGGGUUGGGCUGUUCGCCCAUUAAAGCGGUACGCGAGCUGGGUUCAGAACGUCGUGAGACAGUUCGGUCCAUAUCCGGUGCAUGCGUAAGAACAUUGAGAGGAGUUCUCCCUAGUACGAGAGGACCGGGAGGAACGCACCUCUGGUGUACCAGUUAUCGUGCCAACGGUAAACGCUGGGUAGCCAUGUGCGGAGAGGAUAACCGCUGAAAGCAUCUAAGUGGGAAGCCCACCUCAAGAUGAGUGUUCUCAUGGCUUAAGCCAGUAAGGUCACGGGAAGAACACCCGUUGAUAGGCUCUACGUGGAAGCGCAGCAAUGUGUGAAGCGGAGGAGUACUAAUAGACCGAGGGCUUGAC